UGGAAUUCACUUCACAUUGUGGG
This 23-nucleotide non-coding RNA is filed under the name Cricetulus griseus (Chinese hamster). The record is from RNAcentral. Lineage: Eukaryota; Metazoa; Chordata; Mammalia; Rodentia; Cricetidae.